GCGGAAUGUCAAGUCAGCGGUGAAAGUCUGCAGCUCAACUGUAGUUGUGCCGUUGAAACUGAUAUUCUUGAGUGUAGCUGAGGUAGGCGGAAUGAGUAGUGUAGCGGUGAAAUGCAUAGAUAUUACUCAGAACACCAAUUGCGAAAGCAGCUUACUAAACUACAACUGACGCUGAUGCACGAGAGCGUGGGUAUCAAACAGGAUUAGAUACCCUGGUAGUCCACGCAGUAAACGAUGAUUGCUGGUUGUUUGUGCGUUAUAGGCAUAAGCGACUGCGCGAAAGCAUUAAGUAAUCCACCUGGGGAGUACGUCGGCAACGAUGAAACUCAAAGGAAUUGACGGGGGCCCGCACAAGCGGUGGAACAUGUGGUUUAAUUCGAUGAUACGCGAGGAACCUUACCUGGGCUUAAAUGGGGAGUGACGUCCCGAGAAAUCGGGAUUUCUUCGGACACUCUUCAAGGUGCUGCAUGGUUGUCGUCAGCUCGUGCCGUGAGGUGUCGGGUUAAGUCCCAUAACGAGCGCAACCCCUGUUGUCAGUUACCAGCACGUAGAGGUGGGGACUCUGGCAAGACUGCCGGUGUAAACCGCGAGGAAGGUGGGGAUGACGUCAAAUCAGCACGGCCCUUACGUCCAGGGCUACACACGUGUUACAAUGGCCGGUACAGAGGGCAGCGAGACGGCGUCGUCGAGCUAAUCCUAAAAGCCGGUCCCAGUUCGGAUUGGAGUCUGCAACCCGAC
RNAcentral lists this ribosomal RNA (738 nucleotides) under uncultured Bacteroidota bacterium. Its description in RNAcentral is "bacterial SSU rRNA". It matches the Rfam family "Bacterial small subunit ribosomal RNA", at positions 575 to 1316 of the family's 1533-position model. The record is from RNAcentral. Lineage: Bacteria; Pseudomonadati; Bacteroidota.